RNAcentral lists this ribosomal RNA (460 nucleotides) under uncultured bacterium. RNAcentral describes it as "partial 16S ribosomal RNA". It matches the Rfam family "Bacterial small subunit ribosomal RNA", at positions 338 to 795 of the family's 1533-position model. The record is from RNAcentral.
CCUACGGGUGGCAGCAGUGAGGAAUAUUGGUCAAUGGACGAGAGUCUGAACCAGCCAAGUAGCGUGAAGGAUGACUGCCCUAUGGGUUGUAAACUUCUUUUAUAUGGGAAUAAAAUGUUCCACGUGUGGGAUUUUGUAUGUACCAUAUGAAUAAGGAUCGGCUAACUCCGUGCCAGCAGCCGCGGUAAUACGGAGGAUCCGAGCGUUAUCCGGAUUUAUUGGGUUUACAGGGAGCGUAGGUGGAUUGUUAAGUCAGUUGUGAAAGUUUGCGGCUCAACCGUAAAAUUGCAGUUGAAACUGGCAGUCUUGAGUACAGUAGAGGUGGGCGGAAUUCGUGGUGUAGCGGUGAAAUGCUUAGAUAUCACGAAGAACUCCGAUUGCGAAGGCAGUUCACUGGACUGCAACUGACACUGAGGCUCGAAAGUGUGGGUAUCAAACAGGAUUAGAUACCCAAGUAGUC